UUACGAGGUCAGGACACUGUGAGGAUUGACAGAUUGAAAGCUCCUUCUUGAUUCAGUGGGUGGUGGUGCAUGGCCGUUCUUAGUUGGUGGAGUGAUUUGUCUGGUUAAUUCCGUUAACGAACGAGACCUUAACCUGCUAAAUAGUCACGCGAACCGGUCCGCAAGGGCUCAAAGUUCGCGGCUCGACUUCUUAGAGGGACUAUUCGCACCCGCCAGCGAAUGGAAGUUUGAGGCAAUAACAGGUCUGUGAUGCCCUUAGAUGUUCUCGGCCGCACGCGCGUUACACUGACGGAGUCAACGAGCGUUUUUCCUUGCCCGACAGGGCUGGGUAACCUCCUGAAACUCCGUCGUGAUGGGGAUAGAUCAUUGCGAUUAUUGAUCUUGAACGAGGAAUUCCUAGUAAGCGCGAGUCAUCAACUCGCGCUGAUUACGUCCCUGCCCUUUGUACACACCGCCCGUCGCUCCUACCGAUUGAACGGUCCGGCGAGAACUCCGGAUGGUC
RNAcentral lists this ribosomal RNA (502 nucleotides) under Vermamoeba vermiformis. RNAcentral's name for it is "SSU rRNA". It matches the Rfam family "Eukaryotic small subunit ribosomal RNA", at positions 1215 to 1719 of the family's 1831-position model. The record is from RNAcentral. Lineage: Eukaryota; Tubulinea; Echinamoebida; Vermamoebidae.